This 1051-nucleotide long non-coding RNA is filed under the name Amborella trichopoda. RNAcentral describes it as "long non-coding RNA (ATRI_LNC002663)". The record is from RNAcentral. Lineage: Eukaryota; Viridiplantae; Streptophyta; Magnoliopsida; Amborellales; Amborellaceae.
UUUUAUACAUCUCUUUUAGGAGUCCCAUUUUCUCUCUUGAGCUUUUUGUUUUCUGGACACCUUUUUUACAUCUCUUUUAGGAGUCCCAUUCCUUUUAGUUUGUAGGAUGAGAGAGAGAGAUCUUUAGCAUUGGGGUGGCGGUGGGAAAGGUCCCCCACCCCGUGCCCCUCUCCUCCUCCGUCCUUUCUCUCCACCCUUUUCAUUUCCAUCAUCUCUUAUCCACCAUUUUUUCCAUUGCUCGUCCUCAUCUUGGCUUCUUCCUUCUUCUCUGCUGCUCUCUAUCUCUUUUCCUCAUUUCAUUUAGCCCAAUCAGAUUAACACCUAAGAUGGGGUGACUUUCGGGGUUCAAUACUUUGUCGAUGGUGUUUCUGGGUUUUCUUAGGGGACUGAAAGAUCUAUAUAUGAGGUGACUUUAGGUUAAUGCUUAAGAUGAUGCUCGUUCACUGGGAGCCUUGUUACGGAGCUUUGAGCUACUAUUCGAGGCUCUAAUUUUAUGAUUUUGUGGCCAAGCACAAUAUUAUGGGGAGAUGACUUUGAUUUUCGUCACCAAUUCUCCUUGUUCCUUCCCGGUCUUCACUUACAAUAACUCCACCCCUUUUCUUCUUUAGUUUUCUUCUUGUUCUUUUCCCUUUUGGCCUUUUAUGCCCCAUUGUUGGGUCGCGGUUGCAGUGUCGGCACCCUCAACUGUGCCGCUAAGCAUGUACUGAGACUCUUAUGGGCACUCCAACCCCGACUGGUGUAGGUUGUUGGUUGCUCCAACCCCGACUAUGUGGAGAACGUUGAAAGGGAGGUGCUCAAUGCUCGCUACUUGUUGGGAAGCUGAAACUAGGAAGUGAUGUUCAGAAGAAAAGGUUCUUGUGAGUUGUAUUGGAUGGAUUAGUUGGGUGCUUUGGUAGCUUUUGGUCUAGGAUUGGCGAGGUUUGUGGGAUUGUUGUGCUCUAGGAGUUAGGAUAGGUCAGUCUUGGAUUUAGGGAGUGUUUCCCAUUAUUUCUUCAUCAUGUACUAUUGUAUAUAGCAGCUUUGCUCCACUAUCCAAUGAAAUUAUAGUUAC